This 458-nucleotide ribosomal RNA is filed under the name uncultured marine microorganism. Its description in RNAcentral is "bacterial SSU rRNA". It matches the Rfam family "Bacterial small subunit ribosomal RNA", at positions 356 to 829 of the family's 1533-position model. The record is from RNAcentral.
GGGGAAUUUUCCGCAAUGGGCGAAAGCCUGACGGAGCAAUACCGCGUGAGGGAGGAAUGCCUUUGGGUUGUAAACCUCUUUUCUCAGGGAAGAAGAUCUGACGGUACCUGAGGAAUAAGUAUCGGCUAACUCCGUGCCAGCAGCCGCGGUAAUACGGAGGAUGCAAGCGUUAUCCGGAAUCAUUGGGCGUAAAGCGUCCGCAGGUGGUUUUCAAAGUCUGCUGUUAAAGACUGGAGCUCAACACCGGAAAGGCGGUGGAAACUUGGAAACUAGAGUUCGGUAGGGGUAGCAGGAAUUCCCAGUGUAGCGGUGAAAUGCGUAGAUAUUGGGAAGAACAUCGGUGGCGAAGGCGUGCUACUGGACCGCAACUGACACUCAGGGACGAAAGCUAGGGGAGCGAAAGGGAUUAGAUACCCCUGUAGUCCUAGCCGUAAACGAUGGAAACUAGGUGUGGCUUG